CCUUCAAACGGUACGCCCGCUGGCCCCGGACGAUCCAGUACCGCUUGAUGGGACAAGUUAAUACGAACAGCUGCCUACUGGAUAAGGAAGCUGCAGACCGGAACGGAGGAUUCUCCGUCGGGACUGUGGUUGGAUUUCUAUACCCAUUUUGCAGCUGACCA
The submitters of this non-coding RNA (161 nucleotides) gave its source as unclassified sequences. The record is from Rfam.